Molecule: ribosomal RNA, 174 nt
Filed under: Escherichia coli
Lineage: Bacteria; Pseudomonadati; Pseudomonadota; Gammaproteobacteria; Enterobacterales; Enterobacteriaceae
Also listed under: 1 other name
Description: partial 16S ribosomal RNA
Rfam family: Bacterial small subunit ribosomal RNA
Source: RNAcentral
AAAUUGAAGAGUUUGAUCAUGGCUCAGAUUGAACGCUGGCGGCAGGCCUAACACAUGCAAGUCGAACGGUAACAGGAAACAGCUUGCUGUUUCGCUGACGAGUGGCGGACGGGUGAGUAAUGUCUGGGAAACUGCCUGAUGGAGGGGGAUAACUACUGGAAACGGUAGCUAAUA